This is a long non-coding RNA of Bacillus rossius redtenbacheri, 4339 nucleotides long. RefSeq lists it as uncharacterized. NCBI's taxonomy places the organism in Eukaryota, Metazoa, Arthropoda, Insecta, Phasmatodea, Bacillidae. The record is from RefSeq and is a predicted model, not a curated record. The transcript has 2 exons.
AUGCAGACAAGGUCAAACUCCGCUGUUGCCAGCACGCUCUUAUCGAUGGCGCGCAGUUGCCACGAUCGCUCUGUGAAUAUGUACGUACUUCGUGAUUGCCGCUCAUCAGCAUUUCAGUGCGGCCUCUUUUUGAGAUAUUAAUUUGUUCUAAGACUUUAAUCAAAAAUUUAGGGUGCGGCCUAUAUCUGCAUAAAUACGUGAGUUUCAACUUCACCGGCCAUGAUUUCUACUCUACUCCUGACCCUUCUUCUCCAAUGGACCAGCUGCUAAAUGCAUGGUUCUCCGCAGGCCACGUUUCCUGGAACGACCACCUGCCCUCGCCUUCACGCAGCUUUAAUCUCCACACAGCUGGCAGAGAUGAAUCUCAACGACAUGUAAAUUAAUUUGUUAAGGUCAGUUUACUUCUUUCUCCAAGACAUUCAUCUGAUGUGAAUGGACACAAUACUCUAAAAAUGUACAACCACGGAUUUUACAUAAGGAUUAUGUUACAGGGUUGCUACAAUCACGGAAAACAUGGAAUUCCAUGUAGCCUGGAAAAAUCAUGGAAAAGGGAAAUCAAAAAUAUUUCUGGAAUUACUAUACAUACUAUCACCCACACUGUUAAAAUAGCAUUUUUUUUGUUCAAGAAAACAUGUUUGUUUUCACCUGAAAUUUUUAACUCUUUGUCACAAUGCCACCACAACAGACAAGAAGGCAUUUAAAAAACCACAAUAGACCUUAUCGGGUAUCCCACGAUUUUGUUUAAUUAAUAGGCACUUAUAUUGCUGUGAUGUAAAUUGAGACAGAUACUUCGGCAAUUUUGAUUAAUCGAUGCAACCAAUAGACAAUAAAUAUUAUUGUAACUUCCAUGGCGUGCUGUGAUCAUAGAUUAGAUGUAUUCAGAAAUGCGUAGUUAGAUCAUUGCAAGUAAAGAAACGAAAAUUUUUAGAAGAGCCUGCGAAGGAAGCUUGACUAUUAGAUGAAAUCUGUUCAAUUACCAAGCAACAGCCUUACAAUGUUGUAAAUGAUGAUUCUGUUCACCAAUUUAUUACAAGUUUUUAUGUUUAUUGUAUGGGGUUGUGUGUAACACCCUUACAAUGUUGUGAAUGAUGAUUUUGUUCACCAACUUAUCACAUUUUUUUUUUUUUAUUGUAUGGGAUUGUGUGUAUAGAAUAGUUAUAAGCAUUUUGAAAUUUCAGAAAUAAUGUACAUUCUAAGAACAUUUUAUAUCUUUGUUAUUUUUAGCUUGCAAAAUAGCAACCUUACCUUUACUUCUUUGAAAUGUGUAAGUACUUUUUAGAUUUAAUAUUUUUUUUUUAUAAUUGUGUGUUUGUUCAGUUGUGAAUAUUAAAUGAAUAUUAUAAUAUGAAAAAUGAAAAUAAUAAUAUGAAUAUUAAAUUGAACACAUGAAUAUUAAAUAUUCAUAUUUUGGAACAUUUUUGACAGGUAAUUAAUUAAUUAAUUUUAUCUACUUGAAAUAUAAAUGCACAUAAUUAAACCACUCAUUAAAAAGAAUAGUCUACUUAAGCAAACUAAUGACAAGAGAUUAAUUUUUUGAAAGGACAUCUCUUAUACAAAUAAGUUGUGCUGCAAAUAUGUUGGAACCAAUUUGCUGUUUGGGAACUUGUAAAACCUGGAAAAACAAGGAAAUUUCAAAUCCGAAAAUGUGUAGCAACCUUGUGUUAGUUUCAUUCAUGUAAGAAGGCCGUCCCUCUUGUAAAAUCAUGUUUUGUUUUUCACUAACUUAUCCUAUCCUAUUUUGUUUAAGACAACCUAAUGGAAUCAGACACAACAAAAAAUUAUUGUUUAUGUGUAACUUUUGUUUACCCCCUUAAACAAAUGAUGCUGAUUUGUUUGUCUCAGUUGGAUACCUUUCAUAGGCCUAGUUUAAAUUUUUCUACAGUUAUUUGCCACUUAGGAGACAAGCGAUUAAACCUACGAGCCACUAUAAUAACUAACCAGAAGCUUUGAUCUGGUUAACCAAAUUUAUAGACACCCGUUGAUCUCCCCCUCUGGCCUUGGUAAAGAAUUAAUUUAUUUUCUGUUGAUGGCCAGCACACGCUUACAAAGUAUGCUGUUAUGAUACAUGUUAAUUUAAGAGGAGUUCAACGAAAUGAGUGUGUCAGUGCCAUCACGCUCAUAAACACACACUUACUUGUAGUCACGCAAAGUGAUGCCUUGAGACGGCAGCAAAUUUUUGCCACUUGAGGCCGUGCACUUCUUUAACCUGCGUGCAUACAAACACAACAUUACUUACAUCUUGUUUCUGUUACACUUAAUUAAUGAUAAAAACAAAUGGACUUUCAACUAUACAUAUAUAAGUGAUUAAAAUACUGAAUGAUUUUAAGACAUAAAUGAACACAUUAGUACUAUUAACUAACCCAGUUUGGUAAUUAAAUUUUGGGAAUUUUCCUAUGUUCUCCAAGUUUUUAAGAAACCUUUAAAAUUUCCUAGAGUUUCCCUGUCUAUGGGAAACACAAAACAUUUACCGAUUCCGGUAUCAUGUUAAUAGUUAAUGUUUGUAGCUGUUACUCAUCGUGUGAAGCUGUUGGUUGUUGAUUUUCUUUGUAAAACUAUUCAACCCCUUUCUAUACUAUUAGUGAAAUUUAGAAAAAAUGUAACACUUAAUUUUGUAACAUUUUACGUACAAACAAUUAAUUUCAAGUUUUGUGAUUACUGCUAUACCAUGUAUAAAGAUGUGGAUUUUUCCCUUCAUAAAACCAAGAUUUCUCCGUUUUACUUGCAAAGGAUGGGAUUCUGGCAAGCUAUGAAAUGAAGCUGCCAAUUUUUGCAAAACAUUUUCUCAGCCAAAUUGUUACUGAGGAUAAGUUAGUACGAAUAUGAGAUUCGAAUAGGAAAAAUUACCGGACCGUACCAUAAUUAUCGUGCACACCUGAUAAACACAAAUUCCUUCGUGAAACAACAGCCUAAGUCAAUUCCUUAAAUUAAUGCGUAUAAAACAUGGAAAAAAAAUUAUAUAUGCAUGUUCAUGAACUUAUACGUGUUAUAAAAUGGUUUGCAAGACUGUUCUUCAAAAUUAAAUAAAAAUAUAAAUGUUUAAUUAGGAUAAGUAAUAUUCGAAACUGAGAUUAGAAAUUGAAAACAAGCAUAAUUUUGAUAUAUAAAAAUAAACUAGGCUAUAGUGCAACAUUCGGCUUGGUGCAAAUGUUUAAGGAGACCCUUGGUUACACCACACAACCUUCAGCAUUGGGGGAUAUGGCACCAUUUUUUACCACGAGCCCCCCUUAGUGGUAAAUGUGUGUAUUUUGAUCAGAUUUGUCAAUAAAAAAAUCAAUAAAAAAUAAACUGGACAAUGGUGCAACAUUCGGCUUGGUGCAAACGUUUAAGGGCGCCGUCUGGACGAUGGAAGGAAGCCACUGUAGACAUUUACAUCUAUAUCUCUCCUUUAGAAAGAACUUGAGAUUUUCAAUUUUUGUUUGGGCAGGAAAGUAAUAAAAAGAACAUUCGACGUCGGUCUGGUGGAUUUAAGUUGUCUCAUACCCACCUUAACACUUUUGCGACCCCGCCAAUAUCACGAAAAUGGCUCUUUUCAACAUAUUUGUUUGUGCAGUAAAAAUUGUCAGAAUUUAAGGAACUCACCAGUCAGACGCGCCCUAGACCUUCUUGCGUUGAUUCCUGCAAUUAAACAGGCAUGUCACCACGGAAAAUCUUCUGAGGCACUAAUAAAGGUAAACGUAUGCACGAGCGAAACUGCUAGCCACCUCAUGGCGCCCUCUGUAGCUGUACCGGCAGCCGGCUGCUAUCUCUCCUGCCGCGGAGAUAGGAGGGGGGGGGGGGUCGAGGACUUGCCUGCUCAGGGCGAUAGUGGCCCUUCUCCUCCUCUUCCCCCUGUCGGAGGAAUAACUGAACAAGAACGUGUAAAGGAAUUACGGAGUGAUAUUCACAAUGGACCAUUUCAUGUAUUUGGGGACCAUCCAAAGUGCAGUGAACGAGAUUACUAUUGUGAUGGUUCUAGAAGCACAGAAGAGAAUAUAGUUCCAAGUAUGAAAAGUAUGGGCAUGUGGGAUGAAAUUACGUCAGUAAAUAAUCUGGUAGUUCAUCAUGCAGAAAGUCUCUUGAAAAACAUGACAACAAAUAGAGCUGAGUCUUUUAAUAAUACAGUUGCAAAGUUUGUUAGUGGUAAGAGUCAACUUUUCUCUCCGUGGUGGAUACCUUCCCAGAAGUAACUUUCCGUGAUUUCGUGCAAUGCAGAUGGUAACGAACAAGCCAAAAUUCACAAAAAAUUCACAAAUCACAGUCCUGGUGAAUAUUCAAAAAAAUAUUUAAAAGCAAAAAAAAAUUCUGCUGAAAAAAGAAAAGAGGCGCUUGGAAAACCCCACAAAGAAGACUAAAAAGAAAA